Molecule: ribosomal RNA, 251 nt
Filed under: Pneumocystis jirovecii
Lineage: Eukaryota; Fungi; Ascomycota; Pneumocystomycetes; Pneumocystales; Pneumocystaceae
Description: partial large subunit ribosomal RNA
Rfam family: Bacterial large subunit ribosomal RNA
Source: RNAcentral
GAAAUACAAAUCGGACUAGGAUAUAGCUGGUUUUCUGCGAAAAUUGUUUUGGCAAAUUGUUUAUUCCUCUUAAAAAUAGUAGGUAUAGCACUGAAUAUCUCGAGGGAGUAUGAAAAUAUUUAUCUCAGAUAUUUAAUCUCAAAAUAACUAUUUCUUAAAAUAAAUAAUCAGACUAUGUGCGAUAAGGUAGAUAGUCGAAAGGGAAACAGCCCAGAACAGUAAUUAAAGCUCCCCAAUUAAUAUUAAGUGAA